GGUUGCUUGAAAUGCAGGUGCGGCUGGACACAUCUUCUGAGCUAUAAGCAUUACCUAUUUAGUCCCGUCAAACGGAUUAUUUCUAUUGCUACAGCUAAUAUAAAGGUCGAUUGUCCUUGUGCCCGACUGAUGCAGGAAAACAUGGAGAAAUCCUUGUUCAACUCGAUCUCAAAUCAAGUAAGACUACCCGCUGAACUUAA
RNAcentral lists this unclassified non-coding RNA (200 nucleotides) under soil metagenome. RNAcentral describes it as "partial contains internal transcribed spacer 2 and large subunit ribosomal RNA". The record is from RNAcentral.